Molecule: RNA transcript, 1717 nt
Organism: Sebastes umbrosus (honeycomb rockfish)
Lineage: Eukaryota; Metazoa; Chordata; Actinopteri; Perciformes; Sebastidae
Gene: foxq1b
Gene name: forkhead box Q1b
Exons: 2
Source: RefSeq, a predicted model, not a curated record
GACAAGCGUGUCUCCGGAGACAGAUCAGUGUUCAGCUGCUCCACACUGAGGCUCAGGGUGCCUCCAGCUACAACACACUAACACAGAGAGACAUUACUACCGCUGUGGAGACUCCUACACCUGCUGCUGACAUUUGAGGGAGAAGAUCCUUCUCUUUUUGAGGAAAAAAAAAAUGAAACUUGAAGUUUUCUCCGCGCACCACUUUGCGCAGAAGCCGCUGGAGUUGUGCAUGGACGCGGAGGGCGGAGUUGCGUCUCUAUCCGGAGACGAGCUGGGGUCUGACGGGGACUGCGUGGCCAACAGCCCGGCACCUGUUCUCCAGCAGAGCGGCAGCGAGGAGGGCGGCAACAACAACAAGGGCAACAAGCCCUACACCCGCAGACCCAAACCCCCCUACUCCUACAUCGCCCUCAUCGCCAUGGCCAUCCGGGAGGCCGGCAGCGGCCGCCUCACCCUGGCGGAGAUCAACGACUACCUGAUGAAGAAGUUCCCGUUCUUCCGCGGCGGCUACACCGGCUGGAGGAACUCGGUGCGCCACAACCUGUCGCUCAAUGACUGCUUCCUCAAGGUGCUGCGGGACCCGUCCAGGCCCUGGGGCAAGGACAACUACUGGAUGCUCAACCCGCACAGCGAGUACACCUUCGCGGACGGCGUGUUCCGGCGCAGGAGGAAGCGCAUCGCCAAGAGGUCCGGAGCCGCCAAGGAGAGGGAGACAUGCCCGGACAUCCUGGGCGGGGACACCCGCCUCCAAGGCCCGGAGGAGAGGGUUGGAGGUGCCGCCAAGUUCUCCAGCUCCUUCGCCAUCGACAGCAUCCUCAGCACGCCCUUCAAACGGAGGGAGGAGAGCCACGUUGACGCCCACCGACUCUAUUACUCCCACAUACUGCCUUACAGUCUGAGCUACCCGGCACAGCACGGGUACCACCUGUCAGAGGGCGCGUGCAGCAGCAGCAGCAGCACGGAGCCCAGCUGCACAUACCUCCAUCACACACCUGAGCACGCUCUGCACGCGCUCAAGGUGCCCAACAAGGCGCGAGGCUUCCAUAUAGACUCCUUGUUGUCAUAAUGCAUCCAGGACUGUGUGUGUUGUCAUAAAGCAUCCAGGACUGUGUGUGUUGUCAUAAUGCAUCCAGGACUGUGUGUGUUGUCAUAAUGCAUCCAGGACUGUGUGUGUGUGUUUUGACCCCCAUGAUGUGCACUUUUUGUGGGCGCUCUUAUAGCUGUUUUAUCUGUUUGGGACUAUCUGUCUGUGUACUGUAAGUUAUUCUGCAGUGAAAACACAUGUUGUCAACUGUGUGAUGAUUCAGCAAAUAUCAUGUCAUCAGCAGGGCAUUCCACUGCGCGCGUGUGUGUGUGUAUGUGUGAGUGUGUUAGAGAUGUUUAGAAGAGAGAGUGUGUGUCUCCAUGUUAUCCAUGUAUGAUGGUUCAUUGGUCAUUUCCACUGUAUACGACAACGGCAACCAAGCGCCAAACUAUUAAUCUAUUUAUAUUUUCAUGGUUUUUUUUUGUAUGACCUGCUGUAUAAAAUAUUGUUGUGUAUAUAUAUAUAUAUAUAUAUAAUGUAUAUAUGAAAUAAAUAUUGACAGAGCUAUACGAUGAGAAUCGCGUGGCUGCACUAGAAAACGCAUGGAAAAUGUUUUGAAAAUAUGUUUUUUCCUCAGAUUGAUUGAUUCAUGCAUGUCUGGUAUUUUUAUGAAUAAAAAGAAAUACAAUGGGA